RNAcentral lists this ribosomal RNA (375 nucleotides) under uncultured bacterium. Its description in RNAcentral is "bacterial SSU rRNA". It matches the Rfam family "Bacterial small subunit ribosomal RNA", at positions 521 to 895 of the family's 1533-position model. The record is from RNAcentral.
UAAUACGUAGGCAGCGAGCGUUGUUCGGAAUUACUGGGCGUAAAGAGUGUGUAGGCGGUGCUCUAAGUUCGGUGUGAAAUCUCCUGGCUUAACUGGGAGGGUGCGCCGGAAACUGGUAGUGCUCGAGCGUGGGAGAGGAAAGCGGAAUUCCUGGUGUAGCGGUGAAAUGCGUAGAUAUCAGGAGGAACACCUGUGGUGUAGACGGCUUUCUGGACCAAAGCUGACGCUAAGACACGAAAGCGUGGGUAGCAAACAGGAUUAGAUACCCUGGUAGUCCACGCCCUAAACGAUGCAUACUUGGUGUCGGCCAUUCAGUUGGUCGGCGCCGGAGCUAACGCGUUAAGUAUGCCGCCUGGGGAGUACGGUCGCAAGAUU